AUGUCCUUGAGGUUGAGUACCACAGAAUCUGUGAUGAGCUUGGUGAAAAUGAAAGGAAAAACAAGAUUGAGAUUUCUGGUUCACUAGAAGUUAAACUGGAUUAUAUGUUGAACAAUCUGCAAGAGGCUAGAAAGAAAAGGAGGGGGAGGUGGGAUGAAUUUGUGGAUGUUAUACAAGAGUUAGAGGGUUAUUCGAGCUCCAUGCGCCCUGUUCAGUUCAGACCGUCAGCUGUUCUGCUGUCUCAUAAACCCAAUUUGUCCUUGAAACGACUCAGAGAGCUGAAGUAUUUGCUGAAGUUGUUUCAAAAGGAUAAGAAUACUCCCAGACACUUCAAAGCUAUAUACUUGUUAUGUGAUGAUCUGAAUCUUGACUUUGCGGAAGAGAUAUUCAAAAGUGACAAGGAAGAUGAUGGC
Long non-coding RNA from Lolium rigidum, 413 nucleotides. RefSeq lists it as uncharacterized. The transcript is spliced from 3 exons. Lineage: Eukaryota; Viridiplantae; Streptophyta; Magnoliopsida; Poales; Poaceae. The record is from RefSeq and is a predicted model, not a curated record.